Molecule: ribosomal RNA, 253 nt
Filed under: uncultured bacterium
Lineage: Bacteria
Description: partial 16S ribosomal RNA
Rfam family: Bacterial small subunit ribosomal RNA
Source: RNAcentral
UACGGAGGGGGCCAGCGUUGUUCGGAAUUAUUGGGCGUAAAGGGCGCGUAGGCGGCUUGGCAAGUCAGUUGUGAAAUCCCUCGGCUCAACCGAGGAACUGCGACUGAUACUGCCGGGCUCGAGUCCCGGAGAGGGUAGCGGAAUUCCCAGUGUAGCGGUGAAAUGCGUAGAUAUUGGGAGGAACAUCGGUGGCGAAGGCGGCUACCUGGACGGGUACUGACGCUGAGGCGCGAAAGCUAGGGGAGCAAACAGG